This 565-nucleotide small RNA is filed under the name Pan troglodytes (chimpanzee). RNAcentral describes it as "processed transcript". Lineage: Eukaryota; Metazoa; Chordata; Mammalia; Primates; Hominidae. The record is from RNAcentral.
CUACGACAGCGCCGCGGGGCCCAGGCCGGGAGCCGACCGGCACAGCAGGAACGAGCAUCCGGCACCCUUGUGCAUGUACCCUACAAUGACUGCCAGGCUUGGAUGGAUGUCCCCACUCCUGACUUGGUCUGCCCUGACACCACCUGGGCAAUGGGGAGAGUGUCUUCCUACGGCUGGGGAGUGUGGGAGUCCAGGCUUCACGCACUCUUUGCUGUUCAAUGUAGGUACCAGCUGGAGGAUGAGUCUGCGCAUUUGGAUGAAAUGCCACUAAUGAUGUCUGAAGAAGGCUUUGAGAAUGAGGAAAGUGAUUACCACACCUUACCACGAGCCAGGAUAAUGCAAAGGAAAAGAGGACUGGAGUGGUUUGUCUGUGAUGGCUGGAAGUUCCUCUGUACCAGGGAUUUGUCUUGGCUGUUACUAUGACACGGGAAGCAAUUGAUGAAUUUCGGCGUUUUCAGCGUGACAAGGAAGUGAAUUCACAACUAUAUAGCAAGCUUACAGUAAGAGGUAAAGUGCAAGUUAAGAGUUCAGACAUACAAGUUGGAGACCUCAUCAUAGUGGAAAA